UACGGAGGAUGCGAGCGUUAUCCGGAUUUACUGGGUGUAAAGGGAGCGUAGACGGCAGUGCAAGUCUGGAGUGAAAGGCGGGGGCUCAACCCCCGGACUGCUCUGGAAACUGUACGGCUGGAGUGCAGGAGAGGUAGGCGGAAUUCCUAGUGUAGCGGUGAAAUGCGUAGAUAUUAGGAGGAACACCAGUGGCGAAGGCGGCCUACUGGACGGUGACUGACGCUGAGGCUCGAAAGCGUGGGGAGCAAACAGG
Molecule: ribosomal RNA, 253 nt
Filed under: uncultured bacterium
Lineage: Bacteria
Description: partial 16S ribosomal RNA
Rfam family: Bacterial small subunit ribosomal RNA
Source: RNAcentral